GUAGACGACGAGACUGCCUGCCGGCGGAAGCGAUACCAGCGGCCCAGCGCAGGCGUGCCAUAGCUCCGAGUUGAUCACCGGCGCCUUCUUCUCCCCUGCACAACAAAGACCAACCACCGCGUCAGUAACCGAAGAGAAGCCCACGCGCUCAGGGAGACGGGAUGACACCGCCCAGCAUCAUGGGUCGGUGGGGUCCUGAGUGCUGGCCAACGACGGUACGCCACGUGGAGACCUCGCUGCUGCUGUUUUACGAUCCGGCGGGAUCUUGUGGCGAUCAUUCUGUUUCCUGCCCGUGUGAAGCGGACGAGCGCCCCACGGGCGGCGGCAGAAAGAUGCAAUGGAGGCACGCAUAACUCGUUGCUGCGUUUGAGGGGGCUCACGCAGAAAACGCUCUCUCGCCCGCACGCGCAGCACCGGCUUUGCUUUUGCGCAUGCUUGACGGAAAGCUCAUCGUCGUAAACUCGUACUAGUAAAUUGAAUUGAUAGCAUUCUGUAUUUCCAGUACCCAGCUAUUUUUUUUGACUGUAUUUUCAGUA
Long non-coding RNA from Brachypodium distachyon (stiff brome), 536 nucleotides. RefSeq lists it as uncharacterized. The record is from RefSeq and is a predicted model, not a curated record. Lineage: Eukaryota; Viridiplantae; Streptophyta; Magnoliopsida; Poales; Poaceae. The transcript has 3 exons.